UACAGAGGUGGCAAGCGUUGUUCGGAAUUACUGGGCGUAAAGGGCGCGUAGGCGGUCUUGCAAGUCCCGUGUGAAAUCCCUCGGCUCAACUGAGGAACUGCACGGGAAACUGCUUGGCUUGAGUUCGGGAGAGGGAAGCGGAAUUCCGGGUGUAGCGGUGAAAUGCGUAGAUAUCCGGAGGAACACCGGUGGCGAAGGCGGCUUCCUGGACCGACACUGACGCUGAGGCGCGAAGGCGUGGGGAGCGAACGGG
This 253-nucleotide ribosomal RNA is filed under the name uncultured bacterium. RNAcentral describes it as "partial 16S ribosomal RNA". It matches the Rfam family "Bacterial small subunit ribosomal RNA", at positions 524 to 776 of the family's 1533-position model. The record is from RNAcentral.